This 400-nucleotide ribosomal RNA is filed under the name uncultured bacterium. RNAcentral describes it as "bacterial SSU rRNA". It matches the Rfam family "Bacterial small subunit ribosomal RNA", at positions 357 to 774 of the family's 1533-position model. The record is from RNAcentral.
AGGAAUCUUGCGCAAUGGGCGAAAGCCUGACGCAGCCAUGCCGCGUGAAUGAUGAAGGUCUUAGGAUUGUAAAAUUCUUUCAGCGGGGACGAUAAUGACGGUACCCGCAGAAGAAGCUCCGGCUAACUUCGUGCCAGCAGCCGCGGUAAUACGAAGGGGGCUAGCGUUGCUCGGAAUUACUGGGCGUAAAGGGCGCGUAGGCGGACAUUUAAGUCAGAGGUGAAAGCCCAGGGCUCAACCUUGGAACUGCCUUUGAUACUGGGUGUCUAGAGUGCGGGAGAGGUGUGUGGAACUCCGAGUGUAGAGGUGAAAUUCGUAGAUAUUCGGAAGAACACCAGUGGCGAAGGCGACACACUGGCCCGUAACUGACGCUGAGGCGCGAAAGCGUGGGGAGCAAACA